CAUGCAAGUCGAGCGGACCCUUCGGGGUUAGUGGCGGACGGGUGAGUAACACGUGGGUAACGUGCCCUUCGGUUCGGAAUAGCUCCUGGAAACUGGUGGUAAUGCCGAAUGUGCCCUUCGGGGGAAAGAUUUAUCGCCUUUAGAGCGGCCCGCGUCUGAUUAGCUUGUUGGUGAGGUAAUGGCUCACCAAGGCUACGAUCAGUAGCUGGUCUGAGAGGAUGAUCAGCCACAUUGGGACUGAGACACGGCCCAAACUCCUACGGGAGGCAGCAGUGGGGAAUCUUGCACAAUGGGCGCAAGCCUGACGCAGCCAUGCCGCGUGAAUGAUGAAGGUCUUAGGAUUGUAAAAUUCUUUCACCGGGGAAGAUAAUGACUGUACCCGGAGAAGAAGCCCCGGCUAACUUCGUGCCAGCAGCCGCGGUAAUACGAAGGGGGCUAGCGUUGCUCGGAAUUACUGGGCGUAAAGGGAGCGUAGGCGGACAUUUAAGUCAGGGGUGAAAUCCCAGGGCUCAACUCUGGAACUGCCUUUGAUACUGUGUGUCUUGAGUGUGAUAGAGGUAUGUGGAACUCCGAGUGUAGAGGUGAAAUUCGUAGAUAUUCGGAAGAACACCAGUGGCGAAGGCGACUUACUGGCAUCAUUACUGACGCUGAGGCUCGAAAGCGUGGGGAGCAAACAGGAUUAGAUACCCUGGUAGUCACGCGUAAACGAUG
Molecule: ribosomal RNA, 711 nt
Filed under: uncultured Brevundimonas sp.
Lineage: Bacteria; Pseudomonadati; Pseudomonadota; Alphaproteobacteria; Caulobacterales; Caulobacteraceae
Description: bacterial SSU rRNA
Rfam family: Bacterial small subunit ribosomal RNA
Source: RNAcentral